Molecule: ribosomal RNA, 483 nt
Filed under: uncultured bacterium
Lineage: Bacteria
Description: partial 16S ribosomal RNA
Rfam family: Bacterial small subunit ribosomal RNA
Source: RNAcentral
GGACGAACGCUGGCGGCGUGCUUAACACAUGCAAGUCGAACGCUGAAGCUCAGCUUGCUGGGUGGAUGAGUGGCGAACGGGUGAGUAACACGUGAGUAACCUGCCCUCUUCUUUGGGAUAACGCCCGGAAACGGGUGCUAAUACUGGAUAUUCACUGAUUCUCGCAUGGGGGUUGGUGGAAAGGUUUUUUCUGGUGGGGGAUGGGCUCGCGGCCUAUCAGCUUGUUGGUGGGGUGAUGGCCUACCAAGGCUUUGACGGGUAGCCGGCCUGAGAGGGUGACCGGGCACAUUGGGACUGAGAUACGGCCCAGACUCCUACGGGAGGCAGCAGUGGGGAAUAUUGCACAAUGGGCGAAAGCCUGAUGCAGCGACGCCGCGUGAGGGAUGGAGGCCUUCGGGUUGUAAACCUCUUUCGCUCAUGGUCAAGCCGCAGCUUUGGGUUGUGGUGAGGGUAGUGGGUAAAGAAGCGCCGGCUAACUACGUG